Molecule: ribosomal RNA, 445 nt
Filed under: uncultured bacterium
Lineage: Bacteria
Description: partial 16S ribosomal RNA
Rfam family: Bacterial small subunit ribosomal RNA
Source: RNAcentral
GUGAGGAAUAUUGGACAAUGGGCGCAAGCCUGAUCCAGCCAUGCCGCGUGCAGGAAGACGCAUCUAUGGUGUGUAAACUGCUUUUGUACGGGAAGAAACACUCCCUCGUGAGGGAGCUUGACGGUACCGUAAGAAUAAGGAUCGGCUAACUCCGUGCCAGCAGCCGCGGUAAUACGGAGGAUCCAAGCGUUAUCCGGCAUCAUUGGGUUUAAAGGGUCCGUAGGCGGUUUAAUAAGUCAGUGGUGAAAGCCCAUCGCUCAACGAUGGAACGGCCAUUGAUACUGUUAGACUUGAAUUACAAGGAAGUAACUAGAAUAUGUAGUGUAGCGGUGAAAUGCUUAGAUAUUACAUGGAAUACCAAUUGCGAAGGCAGGUUACUACUUGUGGAUUGACGCUGAUGGACGAAAGCGUGGGGAGCGAACAGGAUUAGAAACCCUUGUAGUCC